This 221-nucleotide ribosomal RNA is filed under the name uncultured bacterium. Its description in RNAcentral is "partial 16S ribosomal RNA". It matches the Rfam family "Bacterial small subunit ribosomal RNA", at positions 129 to 334 of the family's 1533-position model. The record is from RNAcentral.
CCUCGAUGACUGGGAUAACUGGCCGAAAGGCUUGCUAAUACCAGAUAAGCCCCCGACCUCUUUGGAGGAAGAGGGAAAAGGCGGCCUCUGUAUACAAGCUGUCACAUCGAGAUGGGUCCGCGGCCCAUCAGCUUGUUGGCGGGGUAAUGGCCCACCAAGGCAACGACGGGUAGCUGGUCUGAGAGGAUGAUCAGCCACACUGGAACUGAGACACGGUCCAG